This 303-nucleotide ribosomal RNA is filed under the name Candidatus Merdibacter merdavium. RNAcentral describes it as "partial 23S ribosomal RNA". It matches the Rfam family "Bacterial large subunit ribosomal RNA", at positions 2621 to 2925 of the family's 2925-position model. Lineage: Bacteria; Bacillati; Bacillota; Erysipelotrichia; Erysipelotrichales; Erysipelotrichaceae. The record is from RNAcentral.
GUGAGACAGUUCGGUCCCUAUCUGUUGUGGGCGUAGGAGAUCUGAGGAGAGCUGUCCUUAGUACGAGAGGACCGGGAUGGACCUGCCACUGGUGCACCAGUUGUCGUGCCAACGGCACAGCUGGGUAGCCAAGCAGGGAAAGGAUAAGCGCUGAAAGCAUCUAAGCGCGAAGCCUACUCCAAGAUGAGAUCUCCCAUACGAAAGUAGUAAGACCCCUUGAAGACGACGAGGUAGAUAGGUCAGGGAUGGAAGCGUAGCGAUACGUGGAGUUGACUGAUACUAAUCGGUCGAGGACUUAAUCAA